CAUCCAAGAGAGAUGUUUUGAUGAUUUAAUUCUGGCAGAGAAAAUGAGUAGAACUUGUAAUGGAAGAGAAAAAACAAAGAAGAAAGAGUGGAAAUAUGGUUUUCGGCUCCUUCUAUUUGACUUCAAAGCUUGAGGAAACCAAAACUAUUUUGGGUUUCAGCAGCUGCUCCCUUGACAACAGUUAUUCUGUCAACUAUUCUAGUCUUUCUUCUCAGAGACAAGGCUCAUCAAAUUGCAAUUAUUGAGAACUUACCAAAGG
Molecule: long non-coding RNA, 259 nt
Organism: Arachis duranensis
Lineage: Eukaryota; Viridiplantae; Streptophyta; Magnoliopsida; Fabales; Fabaceae
Exons: 3
Source: RefSeq, a predicted model, not a curated record